UGAAUAUCGGCCAGCCGGGGUGCCCGAUCCCCCGGAUGGGAGGGCUUGAAGGCGAAGCCGGUGACACCGUCACACGAAGGACAACCUUCGGAAACGGUUGAGUCCGGCGCUGACCCGCAACUGUAAUCCGCUUACGCGGAGAGCCAGGACGCCCGCCCCGGUUGGUUUCUCCAU
RNAcentral lists this non-coding RNA (174 nucleotides) under Chloroflexota bacterium. Lineage: Bacteria; Bacillati; Chloroflexota. The record is from RNAcentral.